Molecule: RNA transcript, 2191 nt
Organism: Leptidea sinapis
Lineage: Eukaryota; Metazoa; Arthropoda; Insecta; Lepidoptera; Pieridae
Exons: 4
Source: RefSeq, a predicted model, not a curated record
GUACGCAUCGAUCAUAGAGAAUAAUUUGAGCACGCAUUUAAAACUCGUAGAAUUCGUAAUUUGAAAUUCGAAUUCCGUGUGGCGACAAUCCGAUGCGGUCAGCAGACGUUUAAAACAUAACUGUAGUUGUAGUUAGUAGCUGCCGUGUAAGGAGAAUUUAGCUUCAAGUGGAAACGGAGCACAGAAUGAGGUCGCAUAUAAUCCAACAACAGUGAACGGGACAUCACAAGGAACUAUGUGGUCUGGGGCGCAAAGGGAAAACGAAAUCGCCUUAAGAUUACCGAGAGCACUUGACAUUGACGAUAUAAUUCAUGUGAGUGGACAAUUGAAAUCAAACCCGGAGAAAUUUUGUGUAGCACUUACAUCUGGAAAUUAUGAUAACAUUGCCGCUGAAGUGGAGGCCCAAUUUUCACAGGAAGAUAAAAUUAUUUUAAGAACAUCAGUAAAUGGUUUUAUAGAAGAGAAUGAUGUGGAAAGAGUUAAAGCAUCAGAUUUUUUCCCAUCAACAGAUUUCUCCAUACGUUUCGUGAUAAAACCACAAGAUGAGUCAAUCAUCGAUAUAUAUGUUGGAGAGAGUGCCUUAGACAGUAUCAGCCUUAAACAUAACAUGGGUCAGAUCACGCAUUUAACGUUAAGUCAUGACAUCAGAAGAGUAGACGAGCUUAGUUUUAAAUUUGCUUAACACGUUACUUUGAGUAUGUAACCAAACGGUGAUUACAAUAUUAGUUCCCGUUAACGGUUGCCUCAUAUUUUUAGCAUUUAAAAGGGCAUCUUGAGACAGAUCUUUGAAACUUGAAAAUAAUCGAUGGUACCUAUGGUAUGUGGAUUUAUUUUAGGCUAAAUUAUUAAUGCAAAAAUACUGUAGUAUGAUGUGAAUUUAUAUGCAACUAGCUGACCCGGCAAAUGUUGUUUUGCCAUGUAAAUUAUUUUUAGAGUUAGACCGUUUCUUGGACAUUGCAACAUUACUUUAUUUUUCUAAAAUAAACGUAGCCUAAGUUGCUCUUUAUUACAUCAGCUAAAUGCCAAUAAAAGUCGCGUCAAAAUCGAUCCAGCCAUUUCAGAGAUUAGUCCAUACAAACAGACAGACAGACAAAAAUUUUAAAAAUGUUAUUUCGGUGUUAUAUUCAAGUACAUGUAGUAAAAAACGGUUAUUUGAAUAUUACAAACAGACACUCAAAAUUUAUUUAUAUGUAUAGAUUGUGUACUGUUUGCCUUAUUUUAUUUUGUUUGCGUUGAUAACAAGACUUUUUGGUUACUGAAGUAGCACCCUCUUCAUUUUGUCUCCAUUUUGUUAAGUACAAGUAUACUACUUAGAAGUAUUAAUUAAUAUCUCAGUAUUAUUUGGUGUUGUGUUAUUGUAUUAUUUGUCGAUCUUAUACGACACGUGAUUUUUAUUGUUUACUAGCUGACCCAGCAAACGUUGUAUUGCCGAUAUUAAAAUCGCGAUACAAAAGUAACUGUUGAUCGUAGAUGGGUGAAAAGUUGUAUGUAUUUUUAAUGCCGACUGAUAAUCAAACAAAUUUAAAAAAAAUGUCACAAAAUUUAAAAAAAAAUAUUUGGCAUGGACAACCCUUAACAUUUAGAGGUAUGAAAAAUAGAUGUUGUCCGAAUCUCAGACCUACCCAAUAUGCAAUCAAAAUUUCAUGAAAUUCAAAUCGGUCAAGCCGUUUCGAAGGAGUUUAACUACAAACACCGCGACAUGAGAAUUUUAUAUAUUAGAUUUACAGUGCAAGACGUAUUCUCCUAAAUUACCUAUGAGAACGUAUGAUGUUCACUAUAACAAGUAUCUAGUUUUUUUUUUCAAUAGAUAUUUGUUCUAUGUAGUUGCUUUAUUCAACUAUAAAUGUUAAAUGAUAAAAGUAACGAUAGUUUCUACCCCCCUUAUUCAUAAUAGUCUGCUAACUUAAAGCAUUGCUAAUUCUCACUCUGUCUUCUUCUAUUGACCUGAAUCAGAAUGAGAAAAAGCACACCUAAGCGGCUGUUUAAAGUUAGCGGACCAUUAUGAAUAAGGGGGUACAGAUUUAUAUUUUGAAGUAGCCCACCAUUUUCCAAAGCAGUUACAUUUUGUAACAGUUAUUUUUAUCGAGCUUUAUCUGUAUUCCUACAUAAAUGAUAUAUUAUUCUAUGAAUAAGUGUGAAAUAAUUGUAUAAUUAUACAUAAUGUUUUUUAUUAAAUGAAGCAUUAAUGAAA